UAGGGGGGAGGGGGGGCCUCUAGAGGGCUAUCUGGAGUCGAGCGGAAGAAUGGGAGCCCUGCUCCCUGAUGUUAGCGGCGGACGGGUGAGAAACACGUGGGUAACCUGCCUGUAAGACUGGGAUAACUCCGGGAAACCGGGGCUAAUACCGGAUGGUUGUCUGAACCGCAUGGUUCAGACAUAAAAGGUGGCUUCGGCUACCACUUACAGAUGGACCCGCGGCGCAUUAGCUAGUUGGUGAGGUAACGGCUCACCAAGGCGACGAUGCGUAGCCGACCUGAGAGGGUGAUCGGCCACACUGGGACUGAGACACGGCCCAGACUCCUACGGGAGGCAGCAGUAGGGAAUCUUCCGCAAUGGACGAAAGUCUGACGGAGCAACGCCGCGUGAGUGAUGAAGGUUUUCGGAUCGUAAAGCUCUGUUGUUAGGGAAGAACAAGUGCCGUUCAAAUAGGGCGGCACCUUGACGGUACCUAACCAGAAAGCCACGGCUAACUACGUGCCAGCAGCCGCGGUAAUACGUAGGUGGCAAGCGUUGUCCGGAAUUAUUGGGCGUAAAGGGCUCGCAGGCGGUUUCUUAAGUCUGAUGUGAAAGCCCCCGGCUCAACCGGGGAGGGUCAUUGGAAACUGGGGAACUUGAGUGCAGAAGAGGAGAGUGGAAUUCCACGUGUAGCGGUGAAAUGCGUAGAGAUGUGGAGGAACACCAGUGGCGAAGGCGACUCUCUGGUCUGUAACUGACGCUGAGGAGCGAAAGCGUGGGGAGCGAACAGGAUUAGAUACCCUGGUAGUCCACGCCGUAAACGAUGAGUGCUAAGUGUUAGGGGGUUUCCGCCCCUUAGUGCUGCAGCUAACGCAUUAAGCACUCCGCCUGGGGAGUACGGUCGCAAGACUGAAACUCAAAGGAAUUGACGGGGGCCCGCACAAGCGGUGGAGCAUGUGGUUUUAAUUCGGAAGCAACGCGAAAGAAUCCUUUACGAGGUCUUUGACAUCCUCAUGACAAUCCCUAGAGAGAGCGACGUCCCCCCUUUCGGGGGCAGAGCUGACCAGGUGGCAUGCAUUGGAUCGUCCGUUCAGCCUCGACUGUCGAUGAGAAUGUUGGUGUGUGAAUAUAUUAACCGCCUUCCCCACGCCUAACGCGGAGAGCAGGCAUAUCU
Molecule: ribosomal RNA, 1153 nt
Filed under: Bacillus velezensis
Lineage: Bacteria; Bacillati; Bacillota; Bacilli; Caryophanales; Bacillaceae
Description: bacterial SSU rRNA
Rfam family: Bacterial small subunit ribosomal RNA
Source: RNAcentral